RNAcentral lists this ribosomal RNA (253 nucleotides) under uncultured bacterium. Its description in RNAcentral is "partial 16S ribosomal RNA". It matches the Rfam family "Bacterial small subunit ribosomal RNA", at positions 524 to 776 of the family's 1533-position model. The record is from RNAcentral.
GACGUAGGGCGCGAGCGUUGUCCGGAUUUAUUGGGCGUAAAGGGCGCGUAGGCGGCCACGCACGUCCGUUGUGAAAUCGCCCGGCUCAACUGGGCGGGGUCGGCGGAUACGGCGUGGCUGGAGCAAGCUAGGGGGCAAUGGAAUUCCCGGUGUAGUGGUGGAAUGCGUAGAUAUCGGGAGGAACACCAGUGGCGAAGGCGGUUGCCUGGAGCUUUGCUGACGCUGAGGCGCGAAAGCGUGGGGAGCGAGCCGG